UAUUUCUGUCUGUCCUUACAUGAUUAUUUUUCAACCAGUCAAGUUUUUGAAUUCCACCUCAGCAUAUCAAACAAUGGCAGCAGAGUCCAUGCAUUGCAGGGGUAGAAUAAGAAAAAGUUUGAAGCAAGUAGUAUGAACAAACAUUGAGAAUUCUAGGAAGAAUAUUGCAAAUCUUGAUAGUCUUUAAGAGGAUCAUACAACAAGCAGAGUACUGCAGAGUAGAACAGAACAAGAGAACACAGAUGAGGAGGAGGCGGAGCUUAGUAUUUACUGUGUCAUCUGGUUCGCCGAGAACCAUCAGACAUUUUCAAAUAUGUUUAAGAAAGGUAUGAUCAAAUAUUUGAUUUGUUAGUUAGAAAUCUUUCUUUAUUCUGGAUACUCAGUAUUUUUACACUGUUCUUCCCUGAGGUCCCGGGUAUUAUUUGUUUGUUGAUAAGAACUAAUCAUAGGGUCAAUCUUGAGUGAUCAUUAUAUACAGUUCUCUGUAAUACAUGAUUACACACUACUGUGUACUGGAUAACAGUAGAACUGUACUACAAAGCACAGACCCUAUAUACAAUAUAUAGGGUCAGUGUACAAAGUAAGCCACAAAAAUGAAUAGCAAUUAUUAUACUAUAGAGACAUCUAUACAGAUUUAGAUGAUUUAUUGUCAAAGUA
Anneissia japonica is the source of this 657-nucleotide long non-coding RNA. RefSeq lists it as uncharacterized. The record is from RefSeq and is a predicted model, not a curated record. The transcript is spliced from 2 exons. NCBI's taxonomy places the organism in Eukaryota, Metazoa, Echinodermata, Crinoidea, Comatulida, Comatulidae.